Long non-coding RNA from Haliotis rufescens (red abalone), 1226 nucleotides. RefSeq lists it as uncharacterized. The transcript is spliced from 3 exons. The record is from RefSeq and is a predicted model, not a curated record. NCBI's taxonomy places the organism in Eukaryota, Metazoa, Mollusca, Gastropoda, Lepetellida, Haliotidae.
UUAUAAUGUCAAAUGUUUUGAAAAUAAACCUGUGACAUUACUUGUCAGCCAUGCAGAUUCGAGUUUUUCAAAUAUCCCCAACUGUGAACCAAAUCCACAACCUCCAGUGACAUCUUUACACGAUCUCAAGGAGUGAGUACCUUGUGGAAAUCCGCGCGAACUCUUUGAAGUUUGCACUUAGCGCUCUUUAUUUCAUUUACACUUUAGAUUGUCUUAUUGGACGAGGCAUGCAUAUUUAAAGAGGUAAAUCAUGAUUACAAUGUCACGGUGAACGUGACACUAGUUCGUCGUUUGAUAGCACGUAUCAAGAGAAGAGUAGCACGUAGUUGUUUUCGUCAAGAGGAGAGACGAAAUAGUGAUUGCUGACAUGACUGAUAAGCUAGGAUUCGGCUGGCCUGUACAACAACAUCUGUCUUAUAGGAGAUCUGCAAGGCGGGGCAAAUAUCUAAGCUAAAUUGACAACUCGGUUGGGCAGUCACUCGGUUACGUUAUGACGCCACUGCGCAAGUCUGAAGAUCUGAGCAUUUCCGGAUGUGGGUGGAAGGCGGAUGCAGAUCCCGUCUGCGUGCACGGCUGCGGGAUUUACUGGCUUUGUCUCGUGAAAUUAACUCCCAAUGGACUGUCACGCACCUGUCAAUCAAUCAAUGUCUCCAGCUGUUCCUAAUAUACCAGGAAGAAGCCUCUGGACUGAUGGACUUAAUAUAUAUACAUCGAUCUCAUUUCACCUUCCUGCAAAAGGCCAGGAUCUUGGAAGAUGUGUUUUAUAAAUCAAUGAGACAUAUUUCCCCUGACAGCGUUGAGACCUAACGGAUGUGCUUGGAAUAGGUUUGGAAACCAGAGGGAUUAUUUUGAUAGAUAAUAUUUUAGAUCUUGAUAUGGAAACAUGUUAAGAUUUUAAAUAAGUGAUUAUUUGUGUUUUUUAUGCUUCACAGUUUAAGAGAUUAUAUUUUAUUUGUCAUUUACUGUUUGUGUGCAGAUACACGUUUUUGACUAUCUAACAGUACAAGCAAAUCAACGAGCAAGGAGUGGUUUUGGAUUUACGGUCGUUCUUUAUCUCCAGUUACCCCACGGUUUGUCAGCCCGAGAACAGCCCAUUAACUAGUUUCAGUAAUCAAACAAACAUCACCCUGUGACACGUCGCUUAUAUAAGUGCAAUAAUCUUGGACGCGACGUUAAACCCAAUUUCACCUCACCUCACCCUGUGAAGAUCCGGGUUAUAAUAGGUC